This 342-nucleotide ribosomal RNA is filed under the name Triticum aestivum (bread wheat). RNAcentral describes it as "partial small subunit ribosomal RNA". The record is from RNAcentral. Lineage: Eukaryota; Viridiplantae; Streptophyta; Magnoliopsida; Poales; Poaceae.
AUGGUUGAUGAUAUUAGCAAGAUGUUUGACUGGCAGGAUGGUGUUGGCAAGAUUGACUACCAAAAAGCAAUGGAUGCCGAGAAAUUUGAGAAGCAGAAGGAAGAGCUAGAGCUGGAGAUGAAGAUGGAGAAGCUAAGGCUAGCAAAAGAACAGAGGUGUAUCCUUCAGGCCCAGGCAGACAUAAUUCACAACACCAGAAAGGCAAUGAAAGAGAUAAAGGUGGACAGGGAUCUUCUUGCACAAGAGAAGACAGAGCUUGAGAAAGUAGUUGCUGAUCUGCUGAAUGCUGGCCAUGGGAGCAAGGAAAAGCUUGAGAAAAUCAAGGCCAUACUGGAGGCUUGA